Molecule: ribosomal RNA, 486 nt
Filed under: uncultured bacterium
Lineage: Bacteria
Description: partial 16S ribosomal RNA
Rfam family: Bacterial small subunit ribosomal RNA
Source: RNAcentral
GACGAACGCUGGCGGCGUGCUUAACACAUGCCAGUCGAACGGAAAGGCCUCUUUCGGGGGGUACUCGAGUUGCGAACGGGUGAGUAACACGUGAGUAGCCUGCCCUUGACUUUGGGAUAACUUCAGUAAACUGGGGCUAAUACCUGAUAGGAGCUCCUGCUGCAUGGUGGGGGUUGGAGAGUUUCGGCGGUUUGGGGUGGACUCUCGGCGGAUCAGCUAGUUGGUGGGGUAAUGGCUUACCAAGGCAUUGACGGGGAGCCGGCCGGAGAGGGGGACCGGCCACACUGGAACUGAGACACGGUCCAGAGUCCUACGGGAGGCAGCAGUAGGGAAUCGGCCGCAAUGGGCGAAAGCCUGACGGAGCAACGCCGCGUGAGUGAUGAAGGUCUUCGGAUCGGAAAACGCUGUUAGUGGGGAAGAACAUAUGUGUAAGUAACUGUGCACAGCGUGACGGUACCGAAUCAGAAAGCCACGGCUAACUACGUG